UGGUGGAGAGGCAUAGGGAGCCUGGGCAUGCGGCGGUGGCGGUGAUGGGCUGCUCUCGUCAGGUGGCACAGAAGCAGCAUUCCUCUGCAUAGAGGAGCGGCUGGACGACGAGAAUCUGAAGCCGGGUAGCUUCCUCUGCACAUCUUCCAUCAUUUCACGGCACUGAAUGUUUCGGGUCAUUAUGAAGUCGCUGCACUGCUGUUUUAUUUUGCCAAUUGCUUCCUGUGCAGAGGGAGGGGGGGUCAUCCCAAUAUCAGUAGCCCAUUCGAGACGAGACAUCUGCAUUCCUAUGUUCGACGCAAAUAUUUAAAAAAAAAUUGAAAAUGCAAUCGCACCUGUAAAGUCACAUAAAAGUUUAGGCCCUCGUUGAUGUUCUUUUUAAACUCCUGGUAUUUCACAACAGCAGCAGCGAUUUGCUUGUAACAUCUCUCACGGGCAGCUGAAGGAAAAAGGAGAUUAACAAAUCAAAACUACACAUUAGCACCCGAAUAUGAUAACAGAUCCAUGUUAACGAUAAUCACAGGUUACACCUCCGUUCAAAAUUAUAGACCAUUUUUUUUUGUCCUAAGCCAAACUUCUCUAAGUUCAAUUUAAGUUUACAAGAAAAUACAUCGAUAUUUACAACAACAAACUGGGUUUCAUCAAGUUCUUCAUGAAAUAUGUCUUGACGGUGCAUUUAUUUGAACUUGUAAAUGUUAGUAAUUUUUCAAAAAUAAAAUUAGUCAAAGUUAGAGAUGUUUGACUUAGGAGAAAGCUGAAGUGACCUCUAAUUUGGAACAGAGGGAGUAGAGAUUAAGCAGAGCAAUAGCAAUUUGAAGUUACUCAAGAAAAUGGCGGACAUUCAAGAAAAGGUAUGCAUCAACUAGCUUGCUAGGGCUAUCUCCAGCAGUCUUACUCAUUAUAUCUCAUAUUUCAAACUCCACUCUGUAAACAGUGCAAAACAGUGCUUUGCAGGGCCAUAUGCACGAUCUGCUGGCCACAACCUAAGUAAGCUUAUGAACAACUAAGGCAGACAAAUUGCUGAGAUUUGGACAAAAAUGCCCACAAAUCAAUAAUUGCCCAACCAGCCAGCGUGAUGUAGAGAACCACUGCUGUAUUUGCUGGGCUCAAUAACGGAAAGAACGCUACCAGAAUAACAUACUGCUUGAUAGCUACCAUCCAUAAGGCUCGUGAAGUACAAAAGUGGAAAGUGCAAAAGGCUACAUCACAUGGAUAUUUAAAACAGAUAAUUUGCUCAAAAAUUAGCACAUAUACCCUUGAAGAAAAUGACUGUAAAACCUUGUUACCAUGAGGAUAAUUAGAAUACCUAAAGAGCAUGUUGUAACUUUUGGACUCGAUGUAUAAAGCAAGUUACAAAAGCAAAUGUAAAGGCAUCUAUCACAACUGUGACAGAAAAAAAUCCAUAAAGGUUACCUUUGUAAUCCUCUAGGUUGAAUACAGCAGCAAAUUGCUCGUUUUGUGCCUGUGCAAGGAUCCAGUAUCUAAGUGUUAGACACAAGACGAAGGUACAUGGCAAAAUAUAGGGCAUUGGGCUCUUAUAAACACUUCUCCUGCUGUUUCUUCUUUUUCUCAACACUGUCUCAAUUGCAAAACAACGACACUGCUACUCAGUUUUAAUACACUUUGUUGUUGAUAGAACUUUACGCAAAUUUAACACAGAGAGGUAUGCCUGCUUACCUGUAUUUGUAGCAACAAUUGUUCCUGUGCCACAAUGUUAUCAGCAAUAUCAGCACAUAUAGGAUCAUACUUAGCAAUCUCCUUCUUGAAAAGAUCAUCAUGUGAUCCCACGCCAACCAUCAACUUAGGCAAUAUAUCAUCCUGGCCAAAAUGGAUCUUCUCAAUGCACUAAGAUACUAUAGUAUAUGACCACAUCAUCAGUUAUUUAUCACUAAUUUCUAAGUAAUGAAAGACGACAAAUGAAUUUCAGCUAGUUUAAUGGCUAACAAACUUGAAAAGCAAUCCAUCAGGACCACCAUAAAAUAUUGUCAAGUGGGUUUUUUCUUGAACAAUCGUCAAGUGUAAUUUGGAAGGGGCAACGCAAAACAGAACACAGACACUCACAGUCAUAGGAGCCCAUGAUGAAUUAGUACUAAUACAGCACUCCAAGAAGUCAAGAACAUUAAAACUUGGAACUUUAAGCAUGAUCGCUAAGAAGGUAAAACAGACCCAUAGCUACUGUUCAGUGCUAGCACCAGACGAAUGUAUUCUACAUGUAAGACCAAGAAAAAUCUUGUGCAAAAAGACCUAUAGUGAAAGAUACAGGAACAAUAGUUGCACCUUUCUUUUCAUUUCUUUGAGCAUGUCUUCAAGACCUGCCCUUUGUGCGCCAAGAGACUCCAGUUGUCUCUGUUGACAAAUAAAAGCAAGUUUUGCCAAGUUAAAAAAGAAGUUUUACUGCAUGUUCUACUAGCUAUAGAAACUACUGUACAUUACCAAGCUUUGUUUCAGGGCUCCAACAAUGGCAUCUUCAUUUCCAUCCAAGGACAUGAUAGGCCUGGAAAUACUUGGAAGUGCAGACUCUAUCUGCAACAGACAACAGGUACAUGUAACUAUCUAGAUAUGAAGAAUAAAAUGAUGAUCACAGAAGAGAGGUACGGUUCAUUGGGAAGCAAAUAAAGAUAAGUAAUCCACUCAUAUGUUAAAUCCUAAUUAUACUUCUAGUUUCAUGUUAUAUACUAAUGUUGAACUCUCAC
RNAcentral lists this long non-coding RNA (2693 nucleotides) under Zea mays. RNAcentral describes it as "long non-coding RNA (ZMAY_LNC002960)". Lineage: Eukaryota; Viridiplantae; Streptophyta; Magnoliopsida; Poales; Poaceae. The record is from RNAcentral.